UAGGCGGGUGAUUCGUCUGGGCUGUUAAAGGGGCCGCUGCCCUGUGGACCGGAGGAAGGGGCGGCGGCUGGAGGCAGCAGGGUGUGGGAUGUUACAUGAAAGAAUCCCAGGUGUAGAUGGACAAAACACAAUACCUUUAUUUUUAUGUGGUGCUGAGGAUCGAACCCGGGUCCCGCCCGUGCUACGUGAGCACUCUACUGCUGAGCCACAGUUCCAGCCUGAGAUCCACGGUUAUUAAAUAUAACUGUCUCAAAGUUCUGUCGUUCCAAGGCCCAAAGCAACAGGGUCGAUCAUCCAAAAUGGUGAACCAAAAGGAACCUUUUCUCUGAAGGUUGAUUCGUCUCAGAUACUCGGCAUCUGUUCCAUUCAGAAGACAAGGAUGAUCAUUCAGAAGAAGGAGUGGGGUGUGGUGGUGCAUGCCUGCAAUCCCAGUGGUUUGGGAGCCUGAGGCAAGAGGAUCCCAAGUUCAAAGACAGCCUCAGCAACUUAGCAGAGACCCUGUUUUAAAAUAAAGAAAGGACUGAAGAUGGCUCCUUGGUAAAGAACCCCUGGAUUCCAUCCCUAGUCCAAAGAGGAGGAGGAGAAGGAGGGCAAACAGCACUGGGAAAACAACUCACCCCUGGCAGAUCAGAGACCCACACCUCCUUCCCAGGAGGCUCUUCCUCAACACCUCACCUGAGAGGGCAGCUUGGUUUUCACAGGUGAACUCAAGAAGCAUGCGCUGGAGACACCAUAAAUAUCCCACUGUGCCAAGGCAGAGGAGGAAGGGGGGGGCAGGUGGAGGACUCCACCCCCACCUCCAACCCCCCAGCAACCGCCUCUCCUGCUGUGCCUCUGCGAUCCACCACAGCAGGAAAUGGUUUGGGUUUUUCUGUUAUGAAUGCAAUAGAAGCUCAUUUUAGAAUAUUAAAAGAUAAAAAAUAUAGAAACACAGAAGGAAGAAAACACCCAUUUUCUUCCAGCCUUCUAACAAUUAUCAAAACAUGAUGUUUCCCUUUGUUCUUUUACAUAACUGUUUUUUUGAACCAUAUACAAUCUUGUAUUCUCUCUAUAAAACUUAACAUUAUUGCAUAUGAACAGUCAUAUCGCAUGAGGCAAAGAAGGGUUUGACUUGGAGUCAGAAGAGCUGAUCAUUAAUUCCAUCUCUGCCACUUGCUGUAUGUCUCACCUUUCCUGAGUCUCAGGUUUACCUAUAAUGAAGAGGAGAGAAACAUCCAUUCUCGGCCACUAGUUUUCUCUGUGGUCCUCUAGACAAUAAGCUCCGUGACUGAUCCUCUGUUAAAUCCAUACAGUCUGGCUCAGUGGAUUAGAGACGGUCAUUCUCUCCAUCCACAGGUACAACUUAUUUUUCCAUUCUCUGGAAUCUUGGACUGGGCUUGUGUGAUAGCCAGUCUCCAAAAUGGUCUCCCAUUGAUCCUCACUUAUUGGUCAUUCCUGCCCUGUUUCAUAGUCUCCUCUCACCACGGACCAAGGUUGGUUUGUGUGACAAACAGAGAAUGGCAGAGGAGACAGUGUAUGAUGUUUCAGGCUAGCUCAUACAGGGCAUUCAGGCUUCUUUGUCUCACAUCACUCCAUCCGGGAAAAGCAGCCGCCAUGUUGUGAAGACACUCCAGCAAACUGUGGAGAGGUUUAUGUGCAGAAGAGCUGAGGCCUCCUGCCUAUAGCCUGCACCAAUUAGCCAACUGUAUGAGUGAGCCAUCUUGGAAAUGGGUUCUGUGGUCCUGUAAGUCAAGCCUUCAGAUGGGUGCAGCUCUGGCUGACAUUUUAACUGCAUCUUCUGAGAGUCCCCACACCAGAAAUGGUCAGAAAACCUGUUCUGUACUCCCCCAUGCACAGAAAUGGGAGAGGUAAAUGAUUAUUGUCAACUUAAACCACUAACUCUUGGGAUUAUUUGUUAUGCAACAUACUUAAUGAAUACACCCUAUGAUUGGCUUUGACCAAUAAAAUGAAGUAGAAAUGAUAUUCUGGGACUUCCAAGCCCAAGCCUCAAGAGGACUGAAGCUUUUGCUUCCUGGCUCUUACAGCCUAGCCACCAUGCUGUUAAAAGCUCAAGCCAUCCUGCCAAGUGUGGCAGCACAUACCUGUAAUCCUAGUGACUCUGGAGGCUGAGACAGGAGGAUCACUAGUUCGAAGCCAGCCUCAGCAACUGUGAGGCACUAAGUAACUCAGUGAGACCCCGUCUCAGAAUAUAAUACAAAAUAGGGCUGGGGAUGUGACUCAGUGGCCAAGUGCCUCUUAGUUCAAUCCCCUGUACCCCCCCCACAAAAAACUAUGUACUAUUCUGCAUAAUUAAUCUCCUUCAAUGCUAGGCUUAAUUCACAAUUAUACCAUGAAUAUUAAUCCAUACUUAAUAUAUUGCAGAGCUUUAUUGAGUUAACAAAUAUUUAAGAUGUUUUCUUGUCUAUGGAAAGUACAUUAUAUUAACACUUCUCUUUUGGUUUAAAUUGAACAAGGAAUAGUGAACUAGAGUAAAGGUGUUCUUUGGGGACUUUUUCACUUACAUUAUUCUAAAUUAUUAAAAUUAUUAAAUACCUA
Marmota monax (woodchuck) is the source of this 2535-nucleotide long non-coding RNA. RefSeq lists it as uncharacterized. The record is from RefSeq and is a predicted model, not a curated record. The transcript is spliced from 5 exons. Lineage: Eukaryota; Metazoa; Chordata; Mammalia; Rodentia; Sciuridae.